This 355-nucleotide long non-coding RNA is filed under the name Capra hircus (goat). RNAcentral's name for it is "lncRNA (ENSCHIG00000007294.1)". The record is from RNAcentral. Lineage: Eukaryota; Metazoa; Chordata; Mammalia; Artiodactyla; Bovidae.
CACAGCUGACGCAGCGUCUCCGCACGUGGCCCGCUGGCCACGUUCAGUCGCUGAGUGCUUAUGAGCAGUGCUUCUCUGUGUGAACGGCAAGGAGAAUUAUGCUUCUCUACCUGUUCAGCUCAAGUGCAUCCACAUCACUUUUUUAUGAAGGAUAAUGAGACUAGUAUGUGCAGUGCCAUGUUCAAUGUUCCCUCUGCCCCUGAAGCUCUUGAUGCUCUUGGUGGUGAUUGGACUGUCAGUCCACAGAGUGACGACGAUGUCAGCACAGACUAGAGCCUUGACUGAUGAUCACACAACAGGGAACAGGUAGAAACCUUUCUUUCUUUAAGCCACUGAGCUUUGGUGGUUAUUUUUU